GAUGAACGCUGGCGGCGUGCCUAAUACAUGCGAGUCGAGCGAACAGAUGAGGAGCUUGCUCCUCUGACGUUAGCGGCGGACGGGUGAGUAACACGUGGAUAACCUACCUAUAAGACUGGGAUAACUUCGGGAAACCGGAGCUAAUACCGGAUAAUAUAUUGAACCGCAUGGUUCAAUAGUGAAAGACGGUUUUGCUGUCACUUAUAGAUGGAUCCGCGCCGCAUUAGCUAGUUGGUAAGGUAACGGCUUACCAAGGCAACGAUGCGUAGCCGACCUGAGAGGGUGAUCGGCCACACUGGAACUGAGACACGGUCCAGACUCCUACGGGAGGCAGCAGUAGGGAAUCUUCGGCAAUGGGCGAAAGCCUGACGGAGCAACGCCGCGUGAGUGAUGAAGGUCUUCGGAUCGUAAAACUCUGUUAUUAGGGAAGAACAAAUGUGUAAGUAACUAUGCACGUCUUGACGGUACCUAAUCAGAAAGCCACGGCUAACUACGUG
RNAcentral lists this ribosomal RNA (497 nucleotides) under uncultured bacterium. Its description in RNAcentral is "partial 16S ribosomal RNA". It matches the Rfam family "Bacterial small subunit ribosomal RNA", at positions 28 to 507 of the family's 1533-position model. The record is from RNAcentral.